UACGGAAGGGGCAAGCGUUGUUCGGAAUCAUUGGGCGUAAAGGGCGCGUAGGUGGUUCUGUAUGUCUAUCGUGAAAGCGUACGGCUCAACCGUAUUUUGUCGGUAGAAACUGCAGGACUUGAGGCUGGGAGGGGCUGGUGGAAUUCCCUGUGUAGCGGUGAAAUGCAUAGAUAUCGUCCAGAACACCGAUAGUGAAGACAGCUUACCAGAGUUCAACUGACGCUGAGGCACGAAAGUGUGGGGAUCAAACAGG
This 253-nucleotide ribosomal RNA is filed under the name uncultured bacterium. RNAcentral describes it as "partial 16S ribosomal RNA". It matches the Rfam family "Bacterial small subunit ribosomal RNA", at positions 524 to 776 of the family's 1533-position model. The record is from RNAcentral.